This 345-nucleotide long non-coding RNA is filed under the name Homo sapiens (human). Its description in RNAcentral is "non-protein coding lnc-BICC1-2:1". It matches the Rfam family "7SK RNA". Rfam says of the family: 7SK was discovered as an abundant small nuclear RNA in the mid-70s but a possible function has only recently been suggested. Lineage: Eukaryota; Metazoa; Chordata; Mammalia; Primates; Hominidae. The record is from Rfam by way of RNAcentral.
UUGAGGAUGAUGGAGCUGGGGUAUCUGUCAACUCACCGGUUGCCAGAGUCCAUGUGACUAAUAUGGCUGGCUUGAUGUUCUCUUCCUCACUCAUCACAUAGUGAGGAAUCCUCCUGAAAUUCCGUGCCUGGUCAGAGAGAAUGAUGUUCCCUAGUAGAGAAGAACUGUUCUUCAAUCAAAAGUAAGCUGUCACAGAACUCCCCUGCAAGAACCUUUGUACCAGUUAAACUAUUACUGGCGAAUUUAAGCAGAAAAUGAGGAUUAUUAUAAGGGUAGUGGGCAUAUUUUUAGAAGAAAAUGUAAAAAAAAAAUUAUGACCUUGGUAAUGAUGAGGAAACAUUUCUU